CGGAAUUUGAUCUGUCUAUGAUGACGCUAGCGGGAGGCCUAACACAUGCAAGCCGAGCGGUAGAGUGUCUUCGGAUACUUGAGAGCGGCGUACGGGUGCGGAACACGUGUGCAACCUGCCUUUAUCUGAGGGAUAGCCUUUCGAAAGGAAGAUUAAUACCUCAUAAUAUACUGAUUGGCAUCAAUUAGUAUUGAAAGCUCCGGCGGAUAGAGAUGGGCACGCGCAAGAUUAGAUAGUUGGUGAGGUAACGGCUCACCAAGUCAAUGAUCUUUAGGGGGCCUGAGAGGGUGAUCCCCCACACUGGUACUGAGACACGGACCAGACUCCUACGGGAGGCAGCAGUGAGGAAUAUUGGACAAUGGGUGCAAGCCUGAUCCAGCCAUCCCGCGUGAAGGACGACGGCCCUAUGGGUUGUAAACUUCUUUUGUACAGGGAUAAACCUACUCUCGUGAGGGUAGCUGAAGGUACUGUACGAAUAAGCACCGGCUAACUCCGUGCCAGCCGCCGCGGUAAUUCCCCCUGGGCGA
RNAcentral lists this ribosomal RNA (527 nucleotides) under Riemerella anatipestifer. RNAcentral's name for it is "bacterial SSU rRNA". It matches the Rfam family "Bacterial small subunit ribosomal RNA", at positions 1 to 537 of the family's 1533-position model. Lineage: Bacteria; Pseudomonadati; Bacteroidota; Flavobacteriia; Flavobacteriales; Weeksellaceae. The record is from RNAcentral.